UACGAAGGGGGCUAGCGUUGUUCGGAAUUACUGGGCGUAAAGCGUGCGCAGGCGGUUUUGUAAGCCAGAUGUGAAAUCCCCGGGCUCAACCUGGGAAUGGCAUUUGGGACUGCAAGGCUUGAGUGCGGCAGAGGAGACUGGAAUUCCUGGUGUAGCAGUGAAAUGCGUAGAUAUCAGGAGGAAUACCGAUGGCGAAGGCAGGUCUCUGGGCUGACACUGACGCUGAUGCGCGAAAGCCAGGGGAGCGAACGGG
Molecule: ribosomal RNA, 253 nt
Filed under: uncultured bacterium
Lineage: Bacteria
Description: partial 16S ribosomal RNA
Rfam family: Bacterial small subunit ribosomal RNA
Source: RNAcentral